GGUUAAGCGACUAAGCGUACACGGUGGAUGCCCUGGCAGUCAGAGGCGAUGAAGGACGUGCUAAUCUGCGAAAAGCGUCGGUAAGGUGAUAUGAACCGUUACAGCCGGCGAUGUCCGAAUGGGGAAACCCAGUGCAAUUCGUUGCACUAUCGUUAACUGAAUACAUAGGUUAACGAGGCGAACCGGGGGAACUGAAACAUCUAAGUACCCCGAGGAAAAGAAAUCAACCGAGAUUCCCCCAGUAGCGGCGAGCGAACGGGGAGCAGCCCAGAGUCUGAAUCAGCUUGUGUGUUAGUGGAACGGUCUGGAAAGUCCGACGGUACAGGGUGAUAGUCCCGUACACCAAAAUGCACAGGCUGUGAACUCGAAGAGUAGGGCGGGACACGUGGUAUCCUGUCUGAAUAUGGGGGGACCAUCCUCCAAGGCUAAAUACUCCUGACUGACCGAUAGUGAACCAGUACCGUGAGGGAAAGGCGAAAAGAACCCCGGCGAGGGGAGUGAAAAAGAACCUGAAACCGUGUACGUACAAGCAGUGGGAGCACCUUCGGGUGUGACUGCGUACCUUUUGUAUAAUGGGUCAGCGACUUAUAUUCUGUAGCAAGGUUAACCGUAUAGGGGAGCCGCAGGGAAACCGAGUCUUAACUGGGCGUUAAGUUGCAGGGUAUAGACCCGAAACCCGGUGAUCUAGCCAUGGGCAGGUUGAAGGUUGGGUAACACUAACUGGAGGACCGAACCGACUAAUGUUGAAAAAUUAGCGGAUGACUUGUGGCUGGGGGUGAAAGGCCAAUCAAACCGGGAGAUAGCUGGUUCUCCCCGAAAGCUAUUUAGGUAGCGCCUCGUGAACUCAUCUUCGGGGGUAGAGCACUGUUUCGGCUAGGGGGUCAUCCCGACUUACCAACCCGAUGCAAACUACGAAUACCGAAGAAUGUUAUCACGGGAGACACACGGCGGGUGCUAACGUCCGUCGUGAAGAGGGAAACAACCCAGACCGCCAGCUAAGGUCCCAAAGUCAUGGUUAAGUGGGAAACGAUGUGGGAAGGCACAGACAGCCAGGAUGUUGGCUUAGAAGCAGCCAUCAUUUAAAGAAAGCGUAAUAGCUCACUGGUCGAGUCGGCCUGCGCGGAAGAUGUAACGGGGCUAAACCAUGCACCGAAGCUGCGGCAGCGACACUAUGUGUUGUUGGGUAGGGGAGCGUUCUGUAAGCCUGCGAAGGUGUGCUGUGAGGCAUGCUGGAGGUAUCAGAAGUGCGAAUGCUGACAUAAGUAACGAUAAAGCGGGUGAAAAGCCCGCUCGCCGGAAGACCAAGGGUUCCUGUCCAACGUUAAUCGGGGCAGGGUGAGUCGACCCCUAAGGCGAGGCCGAAAGGCGUAGUCGAUGGGAAACAGGUUAAUAUUCCUGUACUUGGUGUUACUGCGAAGGGGGGACGGAGAAGGCUAUGUUAGCCGGGCGACGGUUGUCCCGGUUUAAGCAUGUAGGCUGAUUGUCCAGGCAAAUCCGGAUAAUCAAGGCUGAGGUGUGAUGACGAGGCACUACGGUGCUGAAGUAACAAAUGCCCUGCUUCCAGGAAAAGCCUCUAAGCAUCAGGUAACAUCAAAUCGUACCCCAAACCGACACAGGUGGUCAGGUAGAGAAUACCAAGGCGCUUGAGAGAACUCGGGUGAAGGAACUAGGCAAAAUGGUGCCGUAACUUCGGGAGAAGGCACGCUGGUGUGUAGGUGAAGUCCCUGCGGAUGGAGCUGAGACCAGUCGAAGAUACCAGCUGGCUGCAACUGUUUAUUAAAAACACAGCACUGUGCAAACACGAAAGUGGACGUAUACGGUGUGACGCCUGCCCGGUGCCGGAAGGUUAAUUGAUGGGGUUAUCCGUAAGGAGAAGCUCUUGAUCGAAGCCCCGGUAAACGGCGGCCGUAACUAUAACGGUCCUAAGGUAGCGAAAUUCCUUGUCGGGUAAGUUCCGACCUGCACGAAUGGCGUAAUGAUGGCCAGGCUGUCUCCACCCGAGACUCAGUGAAAUUGAACUCGCUGUGAAGAUGCAGUGUACCCGCGGCAAGACGGAAAGACCCCGUGAACCUUUACUAUAGCUUGACACUGAACAUUGAGCCUUGAUGUGUAGGAUAGGUGGGAGGCUUUGAAGCGUGGACGCCAGUCUGCGUGGAGCCAACCUUGAAAUACCACCCUUUAAUGUUUGAUGUUCUAACGUUGGCCCCUGACCGGGGUUGCGGACAGUGUCUGGUGGGUAGUUUGACUGGGGCGGUCUCCUCCCAAAGCGUAACGGAGGAGCACGAAGGUUAGCUAAUCCUGGUCGGACAUCAGGAGGUUAGUGCAAUGGCAUAAGCUAGCUUGACUGCGAGCGUGACGGCGCGAGCAGGUGCGAAAGCAGGUCAUAGUGAUCCGGUGGUUCUGAAUGGAAGGGCCAUCGCUCAACGGAUAAAAGGUACUCCGGGGAUAACAGGCUGAUACCGCCCAAGAGUUCAUAUCGACGGCGGUGUUUGGCACCUCGAUGUCGGCUCAUCACAUCCUGGGGCUGAAGUAGGUCCCAAGGGUAUGGCUGUUCGCCAUUUAAAGUGGUACGCGAGCUGGGUUUAGAACGUCGUGAGACAGUUCGGUCCCUAUCUGCCGUGGGCGCUGGAGAAUUGAGGGGGGCUGCUCCUAGUACGAGAGGACCGGAGUGGACGCAUCACUGGUGUUCGGGUUGUCAUGCCAAUGGCACUGCCCGGUAGCUAAAUGCGGAAGAGAUAAGUGCUGAAAGCAUCUAAGCACGAAACUUGCCCCGAGAUGAGUUCUCCCUGAGACUAUAAGUCUCCUGAAGGAACGUUAAAGACGAUGACGUUGAUAGGCCGGGUGUGUAAGCGCAGCGAUGCGUUGAGCUAACCGGUACUAAUGAACCGUGAGGCUUAACCUU
This 2902-nucleotide ribosomal RNA is filed under the name Klebsiella pneumoniae. RNAcentral's name for it is "23S ribosomal RNA". It matches the Rfam family "Bacterial large subunit ribosomal RNA". RNAcentral also lists the same sequence under 1 other name. The record is from RNAcentral. Lineage: Bacteria; Pseudomonadati; Pseudomonadota; Gammaproteobacteria; Enterobacterales; Enterobacteriaceae.